GUAAGGAAUAUUGGUCAAUGGGCGCAAGCCUGAACCAGCCAUGCCGCGUGAAGGAUGACGGCCCUAUGGGUUGUAAACUUCUUUUGUACGGGAAAAAACCACCGGUCGUGUAUCGGUGCUGAUGGUACCGUAAGAAUAAGCAUCGGCUAACUCCGUGCCAGCAGCCGCGGUAAUACGGAGGAUGCAAGCGUUAUCCGGAUUCAUUGGGUUUAAAGGGUGCGCAGGCGGAAUAAUAAGUCAGCGGUGAAAGCCUACAGCUUAACUGUAGAACUGCCAUUGAUACUGUUAUUCUUGAGUGUUGUUGAGGUAGGCGGAAUGUGUCAUGUAGCGGUGAAAUGCUUAGAUAUGACACAGAACACCGAUCGCGAAGGCAGCUUACCAAGCAACAACUGACGCUCAUGCACGAAAGCGUGGGGAUCAAACAGGAUUAGAUACCCCUGUAGUCC
This 446-nucleotide ribosomal RNA is filed under the name uncultured bacterium. Its description in RNAcentral is "bacterial SSU rRNA". It matches the Rfam family "Bacterial small subunit ribosomal RNA", at positions 354 to 796 of the family's 1533-position model. The record is from RNAcentral.